GUUCCCCAUGACAUGACGAAGAGCUCUGUUCCUCUUUCACUUUGGUGCUCACCCACUUUGUUUAGGUCACAGUCAUGCAGUAUUCUGUGAUGUGGAGAAUUUUACUGUCAAGUGAGAGACAAAUGCUGAAUCUUUGCCUUAUUCUAACCAGGCCUUUUGCCAGCAAGGUCUCAAAGCCAAGAAAAUGUUGGAAAAAUAAGCUCUCAUCUCAAGUAUACUACUGUGAAAGGAAACAUUCGCUAGCCAGGAGUACAGCGUUUUUAAGCUCUUGGUCCUCCUCAAAGAAGUAUGAAUGGAAUAUCUUCACUGUUACCUGCCAAAGUCUUUUGGUGAUAGUGAGGCAGCCUGUGAUAGUUGUAAGCUUAAGUCCCUACCAAUUAAUGAAGCAGAAUGGUGUUAUAUGCCUGCAGAGACUUACGGUGGAACAGAGCCAGACAUUCUCUGCCAAACAACAAAACACUAGGGAAAGGCUGUUGUGCAUUAUCUCCAAAUUCAAGCUGACAGAUGCUGCUGUUACAUUACUUAUCUGAACACUCUGUAGUGCCUGCACUCAAAAAUGCUGCAUGAGUGUAGGUGAGGCACCCACUCCUGGGAAAGAACUGGAGCCAACCUGGCUGAGAAAUAAGCAUCUUAAUCCUGCCACUUUGGGGAAGCAAGUGCUAGGCCCCCAGGCACAAGGAAUCCCCUGGCAACAGUAUGGAAGUGCAGUGCAAGCUCAGCUGCUAUUAUCUGUGAGCAAUGAUAGCAAGUCUAUCUUCCUGGCUCAUGGAUACCUUGGAGUUGGCAAAGCUUUCACAUUCUCUCCAAAUGCAUACAUAAACAAAUGAAGAAGAAUCAGGAUGCACCACUGAAGGAGCUGUGGAAGGGAAGCGUGGAAGGAGGUAUGGAAGCAAGGUGUGAAGUCUGAAGGUUCUACUUACUGCCACAGAGCUUUUGCAUUUCAGUAGAUAUAGUGUGAAGUUGCUGGAAUGGACUCUCAGUACAUGUUGACACCAACUUGCUAAGCUGCAAAUGGAGGCCAUGCAGAGCCUUCCUCUCCGCUGCAUUUAACCCAUUUCCUGUCAGCUUUACUUGGGGAAAAGCUCAACAUGCCUGAGAAGUCUGGGGCGAGCGGCAAGGAAAUAAAGAAGUUACUAGUCUUCUGAUCUUUCCACAGGGAGGGAGAGUCACUGCUCUGCAAUGGCACUGGAACAGGUUACCCAGAGAGGUGGUGGAUGCCCCAUCCAUGGAGAGACUCAAGAUUUGGAUGGACAGGGCUUUGUGCACCUGAUCUAGCUGUAGAUAUCCCUGUUCAAUUCAAGGGAGUUGGACUGGAUGACAUUUAAGUCUCACCUCCAACUUAAACGAUUCUAUGGUUCUAUAACAGCAAAGAGUCAGGGAAAGGAUGAACCCUGUAGUCAGUGUAGGGGAUUUUCGUGGAGUCAUUGCAGAGAAGAUAUAUAAGUGGUAAUAGAGAUAUAAGAGCUAAUCAGUGCAAAAUGGGAGCUGGUAAAUAAUGUUCUCACCUGGAAAUGUUUCAUCCUCUGAUGAUCCAGAUUAAGAAAGAGGUUUGAGAAGGAAUCUGUAAAUCUCUAUGCUUUAGAGAAAGCCAUGCAUUACUUUGUAGUCAACAGACAGACCUAGAACUGUGUCUCCACAGGGGGCAGGGAAGACGUGUGG
Molecule: long non-coding RNA, 1659 nt
Organism: Gallus gallus (chicken)
Lineage: Eukaryota; Metazoa; Chordata; Aves; Galliformes; Phasianidae
Source: Ensembl